Molecule: ribosomal RNA, 253 nt
Filed under: uncultured bacterium
Lineage: Bacteria
Description: partial 16S ribosomal RNA
Rfam family: Bacterial small subunit ribosomal RNA
Source: RNAcentral
UACAGAGGGGGCAAGCGUUGUUCGGAAUUACUGGGCGUAAAGGGCGCGUAGGCGGCCUUCUAAGUCGAACGUGAAAUCCCCGGGCUCAACCCGGGAACUGCGUCCGAUACUGGAAGGCUUGAAUCCGGGAGAGGGAUGCGGAAUUCCUGGUGUAGCGGUGAAAUGCGCAGAUAUCAGGAGGAACACCAAUGGCGAAGGCAGCUCGCUGGGACGGUACUGACGCUGAGACGCGAAAGCGUGGGGAGCAAACAGG